GAUCCUGGCUCAGAUUGAACGCUGGCGGCAGGCCUAACACAUGCAAGUCGAACGGUAACAGGAAGCAGCUUGCUGCUUUGCUGACGAGUGGCGGACGGGUGAGUAAUGUCUGGGAAACUGCCUGAUGGAGGGGGAUAACUACUGGAAACGGUAGCUAUACCGCAUAACGUCGCAAGACCAAAGAGGGGGACCUUGGGCCUCUUGCCAUCGGAUGUGCCCAGAUGGGAUUAGCUAUAGG
This 238-nucleotide ribosomal RNA is filed under the name uncultured bacterium. Its description in RNAcentral is "partial 16S ribosomal RNA". It matches the Rfam family "Bacterial small subunit ribosomal RNA", at positions 15 to 251 of the family's 1533-position model. The record is from RNAcentral.